CUGCCGGGCCCGGCUGCAGACCUCUCUCCUCCGUCGCCGUGUGAGCUCCGGGAAGCCUGUGUUCUCUGAUGGCGGCCAGGAGCGACCAGUCCAGCCAGAAGAACCUUGAGGGUAGAGGAUAAUUUUCCUACCCAACUUCUGGAUGCAGCGGUGUAUUUAUCCCUCGCCCACUGAAGGACGCCUGGAUUGCUCCCAAGUUUUCGGGAUUACGAAUGAAGCUCUUUAUAACCUGCCGCCUCUUCACUGCCGGAGUUCAACAAGGAACUGCGCUUAAUUCCACCUUUUCUCUUUACUCCUGCCCAAAAGGACUGGCUCCUUGAAUUCUUCUCCAAAUGAUGAAGAAAGGGAAGGCAGGAAGGAAAAAAGAAAGGACUACGUAUGUUACAUGACGGGACAAAAGGGACUUGGCCGAUGUAAUUAAGGCUGCAGACGCUAAUGUAGGAGAUUAGCCAGGAUUAUCUCUGUGUGCCUGACCUCAUCUCAUGAGCACCUAGAAAAGCCCAGCACUUUCUCCAGCUGGACUCCGAGAGAUGCAGGGUGUGUGGGGGACUUAGCCUGCCCUUGCUGGAGCACGAGAAGGGAUAUGGCAGCGAAGACUGUCCUUGGCCGAGUCAGCAAGAAAAUGGGGCCUCAGUCCUGGGCGAACCGCAAGGAACUGAAUUCAGGCACCCGCCUGGAAGGGCUUGGAAGUAGACUGGUUCCGGGGGCCUCCAGACAGGCACACAGCCCACCAAGCGGUGCCUUGAUUUUCGCCUGGACAGAGAGCCAGUGGAGCCAGUGAAGCCCACUUCUGGCCUCCGGAGCUGUGAGAGGACAGGUGGCUGUGGUCCUGUGCCAUUAAGUUGCGGUAAUGCCGAGGACAGGGAAAGAAAACGGAGACAGCGUGUCUGUGUGAAAUAAUGAUUCGUGUCCACUCA
Long non-coding RNA from Hipposideros armiger (great roundleaf bat), 917 nucleotides. RefSeq lists it as uncharacterized. NCBI's taxonomy places the organism in Eukaryota, Metazoa, Chordata, Mammalia, Chiroptera, Hipposideridae. The record is from RefSeq and is a predicted model, not a curated record. The transcript has 2 exons.